GCAUUUCAAGGAAGGAGCAGGCGCGCAAUUACCCAAUCCUGACUCAGGGAGGUAGUGACAAGAAAUAACAAUAAACCGGCUUAUGCCGGUUUAAUUGGAAUGAGUACAAUUUAAACAUCUUAACGAGGAACAAUUGGAGGGCAAGUCUGGUGCCAGCAGCCGCGGUAAUUCCAGCUCCAAUAGCGUAUACUAAAGUUGUUGCAGUUAAAAAGCUCGUAGUUGGAUUUCUGUGGGGACGGAGCGGCCGGCCGCACAUCGCGGUUCGAGCUAGCGCUUUCCCUACAUCCUGCCGCGAACCGUGCUACCAUUAGUUUGGUGGCGCCGGGGAUCGGCUCGAUUACUUUGAGAAAAAUAGAGUGUUCAAAGCAGGCCACAUGCCUUGAAUAAGUUAGCAUGGAAUAAUAACUAAGGACUUCGGUUCUAUUUUGUUGGUGUUCGGGACUGAAGUAAUGAUUGAUAGGGACAGUUGGGGCGGUCUGUAUUCCAAAGCGAGAGGUGAAAUUCUUAGACCUUCGGAAGACAAACAGCUGCGAACGCGUUCCGCAAGGAUGUUCCCUUUGAUCAAGAACGAAAGUUGGGGGAUCGAAGACGAUCAGAUACCGUCGUAGUCUCAACUAUAAACUAUACCAGCUAGGGAUCGGCCAACGUUAUUUCAAACCGACUUGGUCGGCACCUUAUGAGAAAUCAAAGCAUCUGGGUUCCGGGGGGAGUAUGGUCGCAAGGCUGAAACUUAAAGGAAUUGACGGAAGGGCACCACCAGCCGUGGAGCCUGUGGCUUAAUUUGACUCAACACGGGAAAACUUACCAGGUCCAGACAUAGUAAGGAUUGACAGAUUGAUAGCUCUUUCUUGAUUCUGUGGGUGGUGGUGCAUGGCCGUUCUUAGUUGGUGGAGUGAUUUGUCUGGUUAAUUCCGUUAACGAACGAGACCCCAGCCUGCUAAAUAGCGCGCGUGAGCUUUGCUCGCGGCGAGCUUCUUAGAGGGACUAUGAUGCGCGAUAGCACAUGGAAGUUUGGGGCAAUAACAGGUCUGUGAUGCCCUUAGAUGUUCUGGGCCGCACACGGGCUACACUGGCGCCUGCAACGAGCAUAUCAGCUGGUCCGAGAGGAUCUUGGCUAAUCUUUUGAACCGGCGCCGUGCUAGGGAUUGACCUUUGCAAUUGUUGGUCAUGCAACGAGGAAUGCCUUGUAAACGCGAGUCAUCAGCUCGCAUUGAAUACGUCCCUGCCCUUUGUACACACCGCCCGUCGCUCCUACCGAUGAAUGUUCCGAUGAAAUUUUCGGAGAGUGCCUGUGAACUUGGCUCUGCCUUGCGAACGGGAAGCUCAAAGUCACUAAAAUCUGACCAUUUA
Molecule: ribosomal RNA, 1350 nt
Filed under: uncultured marine eukaryote
Lineage: Eukaryota
Description: SSU rRNA
Rfam family: Eukaryotic small subunit ribosomal RNA
Source: RNAcentral